RNAcentral lists this ribosomal RNA (253 nucleotides) under uncultured bacterium. Its description in RNAcentral is "partial 16S ribosomal RNA". It matches the Rfam family "Bacterial small subunit ribosomal RNA", at positions 524 to 776 of the family's 1533-position model. The record is from RNAcentral.
UACAUGGGGUGCAAACGUUGCUCGGAAUUAUUGGGCGUAAAGCGCACGUAGGCGGUUUGUUAAGUCGGAUGUGAAAUCCCUCGGCUCAACUGAGGAAGUGCAUCCGAAACUGGCAAGCUUGAGUACGAAAGAGGGUCGCGGAAUUCCCGGUGUAGAGGUGAAAUUCGUAGAUAUCGGGAGGAACACCGGUGGCGAAGGCAGGUCUCUGGGCUGACACUGACGCUCAUGCACGAAAGCGUGGGGAGCAAACAGG